CCUACGGGUGGCAGCAGUGAGGAAUAUUGGUCAAUGGCCGGAAGGCUGAACCAGCCAAGCCGCGUGAAGGACGAAGGUGCCAAGCAUUGUAAACUUCUUUUGUCAAGGGACAAAAUCAGGCUCGAGAGCCUGACCGAGGGUACUUGAAGAAAAAGCAUCGGCUAACUCCGUGCCAGCAGCCGCGGUAAUACGGAGGAUGCGAGCGUUAUCCGGAUUUAUUGGGUUUAAAGGGCGUGCAGCCGGGAAGACAAGUCAGAUGUGAAAUCCCGCGGCUCAACCGCGGAACUGCAUUUGAAACUGUUUUUCUUGAGUACCGGAGAGGUCAUCGGAAUUCCUUGUGUAGCGGUGAAAUGCGUAGAUAUAAGGAAGAACACCAGUGGCGAAGGCGGAUGACUGGACGGCAACUGACGGUGAGGCGCGAAAGCGUGGGGAGCAAACAGGAUUAGAUACCCGGGUAGUC
This 460-nucleotide ribosomal RNA is filed under the name uncultured bacterium. RNAcentral's name for it is "partial 16S ribosomal RNA". It matches the Rfam family "Bacterial small subunit ribosomal RNA", at positions 338 to 795 of the family's 1533-position model. The record is from RNAcentral.